GACGAACGCUGGCGGCGUGCUUAACACAUGCAAGUCGAGCGGUAAGGCUCCUUCGGGAGUACACGAGCGGCGAACGGGUGAGUAACACGUGAGCAAUCUGCCCUUCACAUCGGGAUAACU
Molecule: ribosomal RNA, 120 nt
Filed under: uncultured bacterium
Lineage: Bacteria
Description: partial 16S ribosomal RNA
Rfam family: Bacterial small subunit ribosomal RNA
Source: RNAcentral